GACGAACGCUGGCGGCGUGCUUAACACAUGCAAGUCGAACGGAAAGGCCCUGCUGUUGUGGGGUGCUCGAGUGGCGAACGGGUGAGUAACACGUGAGUAACCUGCCCUUGACUUUGGGAUAACUUCAGGAAACUGGGGCUAAUACCGGAUAGGAGCUCCUGCUGCAUGGUGGGGGUUGGAAAGUUUCGGCGGAUGGGGAUGGACUCGCGGCUUAUCAGCUUGUUGGUGGGGUAGUGGCUUACCAAGGCUUUGACGGGUAGCCGGCCUGAGAGGGUGACCGGCCACAAUGGGACUGCGGUACGGCCCAGACUCCUACGGGAGGCAGCAGUGGAGAAUAUUGCACAAUGGGCGGAAGCCUGAUGCAGCAGCGCCGCGUGCGGGAUGACGGCCUUCGGGUUGUAAACCGCUUUCGCCUGUGACGAAGCGUGAGUGACGGUAAUGAGUAAAGAAGCACCGGCUAACUACGUG
This 468-nucleotide ribosomal RNA is filed under the name uncultured bacterium. Its description in RNAcentral is "partial 16S ribosomal RNA". It matches the Rfam family "Bacterial small subunit ribosomal RNA", at positions 28 to 507 of the family's 1533-position model. The record is from RNAcentral.